GUGACGGGCAGAGGAGCCGCCGCCGCGUCCCGGGGCAGCAGUGGUGCGGCAAGAGAGCACUGAGAUACGGUCCCAGGGAUGGUACCGGGUGUCAAACCCGGACCGGCCGGCGGGACGGUCCGGAAGGCGGCGGGUCGGCCGGCAGGAGAGCCGCUGCGGCGCGGGGGGGUCCGAGCCCUUCGUUACCAACCUGUGCUUCCCUGACGCAGGACGGGUGAGAAAUGAAGCAAAUCUCGGUAAACUCCCUUCCACGUGUAUCGGGAAGGAAAAGGGAGGAACCUACCAAACGACUUUGAAAGGGCUCUUAGAGGACACAGAGAUCUUUAAAGCUAAGAGAGCGCCUGCUGAGACGGAGCACGCCCCUGCCCACGGACAUACGGACCCGCACGCCCCCCCGCCCACGCUCCCAGCCUCUGGCCGCAGCGCCGCAUCCUCCCUGCAGACAGACACCGUUUCUUAACGCCCAGCCCUGCCCAAACGCCAGCUCACGCCUUGCUGCUCCAAGCUCACGCGGAAUCCCAGCCCGCGACGGAAUCCAGCCCGACGCCUGCAACUUUUAAUGAGAUGUCCCGGACACCAGCAGCCGGAGCCAGACGCUGGUAAGGGCUAAGCGGUGCCUGACGGGACGCGAGAGCUUUUUGGGGCUCAGAGGGACAAGGACCGGCUCCGAGCACCGCUCCCCUCACAGCCGCAGCCAGCCCCUGCACAGCACCCCCCCGCCAGCCCCCAGCCCACCUCCGGCGCGCAGCGGGGGCGGAACAGGUUGAAGAAAGCAGCUAUUUCGGGCUCUCGCAGGCAGGAGCCCGGCAGCGCGCCCCCUCCCCACCCCCACCCCCCAAACUGGCCACGUUUCAUAGUGCAAAAUUCAGGAACGGAACGACGCUGCUGGCAUCGGGGCGCCCGAAUACCACCCGCCCGCCGGGACCCCCGGCCACGUCCCGCGGCGGGGCUGGGACCCCUCGCGCCUCUGGCCCCACCCCGCUCCCCGGCCUCUCCUCCCAGGGAGGGCAGCCCCCGCGUUUUAUCCGGCUCAGACUAACUCGACUGGUGACUCCGUCCACGUCCUUCACCGGAGGCAGAGCUUGGAAGGGCUCACUCCCGGGUCGAGGAAGCUGGCGGCGGGCCUGCGGACAGACGGACGGUGCCGGCCGGGGCGGGCAGAGCAGCACGCGUGGACCGCAGCACCUCGGGGCUCCGAGAACCGACAACGACCCCUGGAAACUAAGUGCAGAGCACCAAAGAAACGGCAGUUUUGGUCAAGCCGUGAGGAAUUCGCUCCCUACGGCCUCAGGAAAAGCAAGGACAGGAGGAAGGGCCAGGCGCGCGAGGCAGCAGCCGCCCACCCUCCGCAGCUGAAGGAGAAACCCCAGCGGGACCGAGAGCUUCGGGCCGCGCAGCGCGAGACGCUCGGACCCUGGACCUCGGAAACAUCACACCCACGGUCACGCGCCGUGGCUCAGCUAGAGCUCGGACAACGCCCAGACACACGGACCCGCACACGAACCGCUUGCACGCACACGCACGCCAGGACACCGAGACACAGAAGAGGAAGAGUCGUUUAUACCUGACUGGUGAUGAGGUCUGUCCUAUCUUAUUCAAAGAAAUGUUUAUGUGCAUAAUAUACAGAGGUGCAGCAUUUACACAUAGGAUAUUGUAAAGACACAGAGCUUGCUACAGAUGCCUUCGAGUCCUUCGAGACGCAUCCCCCUUCCCCACCCUGCCCCUCGGGGGCUCUGACUCCGUCCCGUUCCAGCCUCAACGCCGUGACUCUGAGGGUUUCAGUUUAACUAGAGGGCCACCGCUCCCCCUCCACGAGCUCCCGGCAGGUCCCUCGCCUCGUGCAUACGUUACCCUCCGCCUCCCCGCUCCGAAGCUCCCGCCGACGCUUCGGCCGAGUCUCGGCUUUGUUGGUUUUUUUUUUUGUUGGUUUUUUUUUUUUUUUUUCCUCCUUUCAAACACACCCAGCACUGCUGAGCCCAGAAAAAUUCAGCCAGGAGAAGAGGUUUGAACAGCUCCUCGCGUCCUUGGAGAAAAACAAAGAAACAAAGAAAAGGCGGAAAGAAAAAGAAAAAAAAAAAAAGAACAAACAACCCCCAAAGCAAAGAAUCCGCGUGUCCGUGCCAGUAUCUCGAAUGGAAGGGGUUGGUUUUUCCUUUGGUUUCUUACUGAAGGCAAAGGUGAGCGCGGGCUGACGGUCUGCACGGGCCCGACCCCGACAUUCCCCCCGUUUGUGGUCCCUGUGGCAGGCGGGGGCACGCGGGGACCCUCGGGCUGGAGCUGGGAGGGAGCGGGGGCAGCUCCCCGGGCCCGUCCCCUCGCCCCACCAAACAACAGAAUAAAAUCAAAGAAAAAGA
Molecule: non-coding RNA, 2354 nt
Organism: Phalacrocorax carbo (great cormorant)
Lineage: Eukaryota; Metazoa; Chordata; Aves; Suliformes; Phalacrocoracidae
Source: RefSeq, a predicted model, not a curated record